UACGGAAGGCAGCAGUGGGGAAGUAUUGCACAAUGGGCGAAAGCCUGAUGCAGCUAUGCCGCGUGUAUGAAGAAGGCCUUAGGGUUGUAAAGUACUUUCAUCGGGGAGGAAAAACAAAACUAAUAAUUUUAUUUCUUGACGUUACCCGAAAAAGAAGCACCGGCUAACUCCGUGCCAGCAGCCGCGGUAAUACGGAGGGUGCUAGCGUUAAUCAGAAUUACUGGGCGUAAAGAGCACGUAGGUGGUUUUUUUAAGUCAGAUGUGAAAUCCCUGGGCUUAACCUGGAACUGCAUUUUGAAACUGAAAUACUAGAGUAUCGUAGAGGGAGGUAGAAUUCUAGGUGUAGCGGUGAAAUGCGUAGAUAUCUGGAGGAAUACCUGUGGCGAAAGCGGCCUCCUAAACGAAUACUGACACUGAGGGUGCGAAAGCGUGGGGAGCAAACAGGGAUUAGAUACC
Molecule: ribosomal RNA, 456 nt
Filed under: uncultured bacterium
Lineage: Bacteria
Description: bacterial SSU rRNA
Rfam family: Bacterial small subunit ribosomal RNA
Source: RNAcentral